Molecule: ribosomal RNA, 1388 nt
Filed under: human gut metagenome
Description: bacterial LSU rRNA
Rfam family: Bacterial large subunit ribosomal RNA
Source: RNAcentral
AGAAGCAGCCAUUCAUUCAAAGAGUGCGUAAUAGCUCACUGGUCGAGUGAAGUUGCGCGGAAAAUUACCGGGGCUAAGCUAUACACCGAAAUUGCGGAUUUACAUUUGAAAGAUAAUGUAAGUGGUAGAGGAGCAUUCUGUAGUAGGAAGAAGCAUGACCGUAAGGACAUGUGGACGAAGCAGAAGAGAGAAUGCUGGAAUAAGUAGCGAGAGGAUGGUGAGAAUCCAUCCCGUCGAAAAUCUAAGGUUUCCCAGGGAAGGUUCGUCCGCCUGGGGUAAGUCGGGACCUAAGGAGAGGCCGAAAGGCGUAUCUGAUGGAUAGCAGGUUGAAAUUCCUGCACUACGAAUAUACUUAAAAGAUUCAAGGGACGCAGAAGUGGAAGAUAACCAAGUAAGAGGAAAAGCUUGGCUCGCAAGAGGGAGUGAAAAUUAAAAGUAACGAAGUAUCAAGAAGCACGCUGACGAGAAAAGCUUGAAGAUAUUGUAUAUAAGUACCCGUACCGCAAACCGACACAGGUAGAUGAGGAGAGGAUCCUAAGACGAGCGGGAGAAGCAUUGUUAAGGAACUCGGCAAAUUAACCCCGUAACUUCGGAAUAAGGGGUGCUGAUGUAACAGUCAGUCGCAGAGAAAAGGCCCAAGCAACUGUUUAACAAAAACAUAGGUUUCUGCUAAAUCGAAAGAUGAAGUAUAGGAGCUGACGCCUGCCCAGUGCUGGAAGGUUAAGGGAAAGAGUUAGGGUUAAACCGAAGCUUAGAACUGAAGCCCCAGUGAACGGCGGCCGUAACUAUAACGGUCCUAAGGUAGCGAAAUUCCUUGUCAGGUAAGUUCUGACCCGCACGAAAGGCGUAAUGAUUUGGGCGCUGUCUCGACAAUGUCCCCGGCGAAAUUGUAGUACUAGUGAAGAUGCUAGUUACCUGCGAUAAGACAGAAAGACCCCAUGGAGCUUUACUGCAGUUUGAUACUGGGUUUCGAUGAUUUAUGUACAGGAUAGUUGGGAGACUAUGAAAGAGAGGCGUCAGCUUCUCCGGAGUCAUUGUUGGGAUACCAACCUUAAGUUAUUGAAAUUCUAACUUGUAAUCGUAAACCGGUUAGAGGACAAUGUCAGACGGGCAGUUUGACUGGGGCGGUCGCCUCCUAAAGAGUAACGGAGGCGCCCAAAGGUUUCCUCAGCGCGGACAGAAAUCGCGCGAAAGAGUGCAAAGGCAGAAGGAAGCUUAACUGAGAGACAGACAUGUCGACCAGAUACGAAAGUAGGGCUUAGUGAUCCGGUGGUUGUAAAUGGAAAUGCCAUCGCUCAACGGACAAAAGUUACCCUGGGGAUAACAGGCUUAUCUCCCCCAAGAGUUCACAUCGACGGGGAGGUUUGGCACCUCGAUGUCGGCUCAUC